Molecule: ribosomal RNA, 253 nt
Filed under: uncultured bacterium
Lineage: Bacteria
Description: partial 16S ribosomal RNA
Rfam family: Bacterial small subunit ribosomal RNA
Source: RNAcentral
UACGGAGGGUGCAAGCGUUAAUCGGAAUCACUGGGCGUAAAGGGCACGCAGGCGGUUUGUUAAGUCAGGUGUGAAAUCCCCGGGCUUAACCCGGGAAUUGCAUUUGAUACUGGCCAGCUAGAGUCCUGUAGAGGGGGGUAGAAUUCCAUGUGUAGCGGUGAAAUGCGUAGAGAUGUGGAGGAAUACCGGAGGCGAAGGCGGCCCCCUGGACAGAUACUGACGCUCAGGUGCGAAAGCGUGGGGAGCAAACAGG